GACGAACGCUGGCGGCGUGCUUAACACAUGCAAGUCGAACGAAGAGCGAUGGAAGCUUGCUUCUAUCAAUCUUAGUGGCGAACGGGUGAGUAACGCGUAAUCAACCUGCCCUUCAGAGGGGGACAACAGUUGGAAACGACUGCUAAUACCGCAUACGAUCUGACCUCGGCAUCGAGGAUAGAUGAAAGGUGGCCUCUACAUGUAAGCUAUCACUGAAGGAGGGGAUUGCGUCUGAUUAGCUAGUUGGAGGGGUAACGGCCCACCAAGGCGAUGAUCAGUAGCCGGUCUGGGAGGAUGGACGGCCACAUUGGGACUGAGACACGGCCCAGACUCCUACGGGAGGCAGCAGUGGGGAAUCUUCCGCAAUGGACGAAAGUCUGACGGAGCAACGCCGCGUGAGUGAUGACGGCCUUCGGGUUGUAAAGCUCUGUUAAUCGGGACGAAAGGCCUUUUUGCGAAUAGUGAGAAGGAUUGACGGUACCGGAAUAGAAAGCCACGGCUAACUACGUG
RNAcentral lists this ribosomal RNA (510 nucleotides) under uncultured bacterium. Its description in RNAcentral is "partial 16S ribosomal RNA". It matches the Rfam family "Bacterial small subunit ribosomal RNA", at positions 28 to 507 of the family's 1533-position model. The record is from RNAcentral.